UACGUAGGGACCAAGCGUUGUUCGGAUUUACUGGGCGUAAAGGGCGCGUAGGCGGCGUGACAAGUCACUUGUGAAAUCUCUGGGCUUAACCCAGAACGGCCAAGUGAAACUGUUGUGCUAGAGUGCAGAAGGGGCAAUCGGAAUUCUCGGUGUAGCGGUGAAAUGCGUAGAUAUCAGGAGGAACACCGAUGGCGAAGGCAGGUCUCUGGGCUGACACUGACGCUCAUGCACGAAAGCGUAGGGAGCAAACAGG
This 253-nucleotide ribosomal RNA is filed under the name uncultured bacterium. RNAcentral describes it as "partial 16S ribosomal RNA". It matches the Rfam family "Bacterial small subunit ribosomal RNA", at positions 524 to 776 of the family's 1533-position model. The record is from RNAcentral.